ACCUGGAAUAAAUUUAGCCUGCCCAAGGAAAAAGAGUACAACAUGGUAACCUUGGAUGAAGGAGCAAGCCUGUGUCUUGCUGACUGCAGCCUCUUGUGAAGCAAAUCCAUGGGAUCCAAAAUCAUUCAGGACUCCCAGAAGGGUAAACUGGAAGCUGAAUUGGAAGGACGAGACUCCCAAACUUAGAUUUGCUCUAGGGAAAUGGGAAGCCCAGAGGGAGAGAAACACCCAACCUGAGCCAAGAAACCAGGUAUUGGAAAAAUUAAAGGGGAAAGGACAGCAGCACCAUUUGCAGAGCCAACCUCAGAUGAAACAAGGACAAUUCCCAUUCCUUUGUGAACAAUCAAACUGGCUUUGGAUACUGGAAUUUUACUCUAGACUUUAAUUUGAAUAUUGGACACUCCUAAAGAUCAUUAAUCCCCACUGUUUGGUUCAGGUCUCUGCUGUGAAAUACAGAUUAAUUAUUUCUUGUGUGGAGUCUUUAUUCAGGCACUGAACAAUGAAGGAUCGUUUGUAGCUUUUUGCUUUUUUCAGUGUAUUUUCCAUGUCUUGUUCUGUAUCUUUUUGUUAUAAAGAUUCCAUCCUCACAUGUCA
This is a long non-coding RNA of Cygnus olor (mute swan), 594 nucleotides long. RefSeq lists it as uncharacterized. Lineage: Eukaryota; Metazoa; Chordata; Aves; Anseriformes; Anatidae. The transcript has 3 exons. The record is from RefSeq and is a predicted model, not a curated record.